AUAUCACCAGUUCUCAUUUGUUCACCAAGGUUAAACAAUAUUGAGCUUGGUCAGUACCUAGAUGGAUGACCACUUGAGAAUAUCAGGUGCUGUAA
Non-coding RNA from Acanthosepion pharaonis, 95 nucleotides. The record is from the annotation of a GenBank genome assembly. NCBI's taxonomy places the organism in Eukaryota, Metazoa, Mollusca, Cephalopoda, Sepiida, Sepiidae.